This 856-nucleotide ribosomal RNA is filed under the name Peptoclostridium litorale DSM 5388. RNAcentral describes it as "bacterial SSU rRNA". It matches the Rfam family "Bacterial small subunit ribosomal RNA", at positions 8 to 869 of the family's 1533-position model. Lineage: Bacteria; Bacillati; Bacillota; Clostridia; Peptostreptococcales; Peptoclostridiaceae. The record is from RNAcentral.
AGAGUUUGAUCCUGGCUCAGGAUGAACGCUGGCGGCGUGCUUAACACAUGCAAGUCGAGCGAACAAAGCGAUGUAAAGCCUUCGGGUGGAUCAUCGCGGCGUGAGCGGCGGACGGGUGAGUAACACGUGGGUAACCUGCCCUGUACACUGGGAUAACGCACCGAAAGGUGUGCUAAUACCGGAUAAAGUGAACCUUUCGCAUGGAAGGAUCACCAAAGCUCCGGCGGUACAGGAUGGACCCGCGUCCCAUUAGCUAGUUGGUGAGGUAACGGCUCACCAAGGCGACGAUGGGUAGCCGACCUGAGAGGGUGAUCGGCCACACUGGAACUGAGACACGGUCCAGACUCCUACGGGAGGCAGCAGUGGGGAAUAUUGCACAAUGGGCGAAAGCCUGAUGCAGCAACGCCGCGUGAGCGAUGAAGGCCUUCGGGUCGUAAAGCUCUGUCCUAAGGGAAGAUAAUGACGGUACCUUAGGAGGAAGCCCCGGCUAACUACGUGCCAGCAGCCGCGGUAAUACGUAGGGGGCAAGCGUUAUCCGGAAUCACUGGGCGUAAAGGGUGCGUAGGCGGCUGAUAAAGUCCGAGGUGAAAGGCUACGGCUUAACCGUAGUAAGCCUUGGAAACUUAUCAGCUUGAGUACAGGAGAGGAAAGUGGAAUUCCUAGUGUAGCGGUGAAAUGCGUAGAUAUUAGGAGGAACACCAGUGGCGAAGGCGACUUUCUGGACUGUUACUGACGCUGAGGCACGAAAGCGUGGGGAGCGAACAGGAUUAGAUACCCUGGUAGUCCACGCCGUAAACGAUGAGUGCUAGGUGUCGGGGGUCGAACCUCGGUGCCGCAGCUAACGCAUUAAGCACUC